UACGAAGGGGGCUAGCGUUGUUCGGAAUUACUGGGCGUAAAGCGCCCGUAGGCGGAUAUUUCAGUCAGGGGUGAAAUCCCAGAGCUCAACUCUGGAACUGCCUUUGAUACUGGGUAUCUUGAGUAUGGAAGAGGUGAGUGGAAUUCCGAGUGUAGAGGUGAAAUUCGUAGAUAUUCGGAGGAACACUAGUGGCGAAGGCGGCUCACUGGUCCAUUACUGACGCUGAGGUGCGAAAGCGUGGGGAGCAAACGGG
Molecule: ribosomal RNA, 253 nt
Filed under: uncultured bacterium
Lineage: Bacteria
Description: partial 16S ribosomal RNA
Rfam family: Bacterial small subunit ribosomal RNA
Source: RNAcentral